This is a long non-coding RNA of Mercenaria mercenaria, 4386 nucleotides long. RefSeq lists it as uncharacterized. The transcript is spliced from 3 exons. The record is from RefSeq and is a predicted model, not a curated record. Lineage: Eukaryota; Metazoa; Mollusca; Bivalvia; Venerida; Veneridae.
GAUCACCUUAUCAAGACGGUGUGCAGAACCCAUGAGUCACUCAUGCCGGCUCAAGGUCAAGGUCACAACUUAGGGUCAAAGGUUUGAACCUUCCAUUUUGUGUCCGCUCUAUAUCUCCUAAACCCCUUGAAGGAUUUUCAUCAAACUUGGGUCAAACGAUCACCUCAUCAAGGCAAUGUGCAGAACUUAUGAGUCAGCCGUGUCAGCUCAAGGUCAAGGUCACAACUGAAGGUCAAAGGUUUGAGCUUUCCAUUUCGUGUCCACUCUAUAUCUCCUAAACCCCUUGAAGGAAUUUUAUAAAACCUGGGUCAAAUGAUAACCUCAUCAAGACGAUGUGCAGAAAUUAUGAGUCAACCAUGCCAGCUCAAGGUCAAGGUCACAACUAAGGGUCGAUAUUUUGAGCCUUCCAUUUGGUGUCCACUCUGUAUCUCCUUAACCCCUUGAAGGAUUUUCAUCAAACUUUGGUCAAAUGAUCACCUCAUCAAGAACUCAUGAGUCAGCCAUGUCAACUCAAGGUCAAGGUCACAACUGAAGGUCAAAGGUUUCAGCUCUGUAUCUCCUAAACCCCUUGAAGGAUUUUCAUGAAACUUUGGUCAAAUGAUCACCUCAUCAAGACGUUGUGCAGAAUUCAUGAGUCAGCUGUGUCAGUUCAAGGUCAAGGUCACAGCUAAAAUCAAAGGUUUUACCCUUUCACUAUCCAUAGCAAUGGCGGGGGAUUUAGCUGUCUUUCAGACUGCCUUGUUUAAAAUGCUCCAAAUAUGAUAUGAAAAAGUUCAGACAUUGACAAUUUGAAUUUGUUACAACCUCAGUGUUCAAGUUUAUUCAAUAAAUUUAUAUCCCUGAUUCCUACUAAUUUAUUUGUUUUUGCACUUUUUCUGUACAUGCUUUUUUGUACACAAUUUAUGUAGAGAUGGUUUUCAGCUAGUUCGCGGGAUGUUCGCAGCAACUAGUUUGCGGGAUGUUCGCAGCAACUAGUUUGCGGGAUGUUCGCAGCAACUAGUUCGUGGGAUGAUCGCGGCAACUUGUUCGCGGGAAGUUCACAGCUACCUGUUCGCGGGAAGUUCGUGGCAACUUGUUCGCGGCAAAACUAAUUUGCAGGUGAAAAGUGAACACCAAACGAACCUCCCGCGAACUAUUAUACCAAUUGUAUCAAAAGUGUUCACGGCAUAUUCGCUGGAUAUUUGUGGCAUGAUCGCAGCAAGUGUUCGCGGCAAACUAUAAUAUUUCCGUAAGGGACUGCUUCUGCCCUUUGAAAAUCAUCAUGUCACAUGGAAAAUCACCAUACAGAUUCUCAUGUCUGGCGACUGCCAUCCGAACCUGGGACCAACUAAUUAUAAGUUUCCAUGUGGAAUCUGCGAAAAGCCCUGUAGAUCCAACCAAUGUGCUGUUGCCUGUGACAGUGAAAAGUGUGACGGAUGGUAUCACGCCAAGUGCAUGAGGAUGAACACAGCAGUUUACAGAGGUCUGACUCCUACUUUAAUACUAGCUGGAUCUGCUUCUACUGUGGCGUUCCAAAUUUCUCCUCCACGCUGUUCAACACACUUUCAUCAGACUCGCUGAACUAUUCCAUUGCCACAGAGAACACCUACAGCGUUCUCUCCGACACGCCUCACACCCCCGACAGCAGCAACGUCACGUCCAGCUUCAGCUCUGCGAACCAUUCUAUAGGGUCACCACAAUACACUUCAUCACCCAUCCAUCGCAGACCACCACCCAACAAGGAAACAGGAGCUUCAAGUCUGCGGGUCCUUGUUAUUAACUUCCAGAGCAUGAGGACGAAACGUACAUCUUUCUGGCUCCUAAAAGAAGAAGCAGACCCUGACAUCAUUAUAGGCAGUGAAACCUGGCUGUACCCUGCAGUAUCUGACCAAGAAGUACUUCCAGCAGGCUAUCGCUUCAUUACACGAAGGGACAGAACUUGACCUAGUGACCUACUUUCAAAUUUCUCAAGCUACAGCCUUCAAAUUUGGACCACUUUCAUGGAUUUGUUUGCUGAAAUAAACUGUGACCUUGACAUUUGCAUGGUGACCUACUUUCACAUUUUUGAAGGUACAGGCUUCAAAUUUGGACCACAUACAUAGUUUAUGUUCCGAAAUGAAAUUUUUACCUUGAUUUUGACUUAGUGGCCUACUUUUACAUUUCUCAAGCUGCAGCCUUCAGAUUUGGACCACAUGCAUAGUUUUGUGUACCGAAAUGAACUUUGACCUUGAGAUUGACCCAGUGACCUACUUUCUCAUUUCUGAGCUACAGCCUUCAAAUUUGGACCACAUGCAUAGGUUUGUUGACUGAAAUAAACUUUGACCCUGACAUUGACCUAGUGACCUACUUUCACAUUUUUGAAGGUACAGGCUUCAAAUUUGGACCACAUGCAUAGUUUUGUGUUCCGAAAUGAAAUUUGACUUUGAUUUUGACCUAGGGACCUUCUUUCAUAUUUCUCAAGCUACAACCUUCAAAUUUUGACCAUGUGUUGUUUUGUGUACCAAAAUGAACUUUGACCUUGAUUUUGACCUUGAGCUAGUCAUGAAAUUUGGAACAUUCAAAAAUGGCUCAAUGGUGGGCGCCAAGAUCACUCUGUGAUCUCUUAUCAUUGCUCACAAUUGAUCUUCUGGUGUUCUGUAUCAGUUAGAAAUAUCAUAUAUUACAUAACAAGAAGAUAUACAUUAUUUGACAUAGAAACACUUGCCAUCUUUAUUAUAUAGCUGAUACUGUAAUUAAUAAAGAAUUUUAUUUCUCAGAGUGAUGUUUCUAACUUCAGAUCAUAAAAUGACACCUCUUUAGAUGCAAGUGCUCAUAGAUUUGUAUGACCCUAACUAGAGUGCACAGUCAGACAAAAUAGCACCAGUUGCUGAGAACCAAGUUUCCCAGAAACAGAUAAUUUAAACGCCCAUUGAAACCAGAGAUUACAUUUAUUGGAGAUAAUUUGACGAAGACAGUUGUAGAGUUGUUACAUGAGACAAUUAGGGAGAGUGAGUUUACAUUUUGCUGGAACCUUGUUACAGAUUUGCAGUAUCAGACAGUAUCCUAGGAAACCCACAGCCAUUCUAGAUAUAGGACCAACACAAUCAGACAAGUCGGCAAGAUCUUUCUUUCAAGAGUGGCGACAUUCUGCCCAAGAUUCAAGUCUGGAGAUUCCAUUGGCUGAUCUUAGAAUCUUUUUUUUUUUUUUGGAUUAAAGUCUAAAAAUGACAUUGACUUAAGACUACAUGUAUACUGUUUUCAGUCAAAGGCUUUUUAUGAACAUAUUAAGAUCUGGAAAAUAACUAUAUUGGAGACAAGUUUGUAUGACAAAAUGAAAGAAAGAAAACGGUUUUUAUGUUACAAAGAUUUUUUUAAAUACUUUUGAAGAGACAUUAUCAAAGAGGAUACUACACGAGUUUCUUUUCAUAUUGAAGAUAUUAAACGAGAUGAAUAAAACAAUAAAAUGCAAGGCUCUGCCGAGCAUUUUAUUAAUUUCAUUCAAUGAGUUGAUAAAUUUAAUGUGGAAAGUCACAAAUGUAAUAUUCUUUUUAUCACAUGUUAGCCGAAACAUCAAAAAUUCUACUUUCUUUAACUAUUAUAAACAAGUCAAUUUGACCAAUGUUUCCAACACUUAAGUGUUAUCGACGUCAAAGCUUUAUUACACUAGUGUAUUGUCAUUUUUAUGUAUUGGCUUUAUUUCACUCCUGCGAGGUCAAACAUGUGAUAAAUGUCUUUUAAAAAUACAAGACUGCAGUAACUGCUUUUUAAAAAGUUUUCAGAAAGUGUAAAAAGAAACUGCUUUUUCUACCUGAAGAUAUGUGUCAUGCAGUGACAUAAGUGUUAAACAACGGUUAAAUUAUUUGUUUUAAAAUAUUUAAAAAUAGUUGUAUAUGUAAAAACUCUAGCUUUGUCAAUAAUUUUAAAAGAACAAAAAGAAUUUACAUGCUGUCAUUAUAAAAAUGUUUUAUUUCUUACUAAACAUUGAUAAAAUCUUGCAGUGUCAAACUAAUUGCUAUUAUACGUCUGUUAAUGCUCUUAUUGCAUUUUAUUAUAUAAUCUUAAUAUCUGUUUAUGAGAUAAUAAUCUUUUGACACGCAAGGACAGAGGUCCCUGGUCACGUGAAAUCACAUGAAAUCUCACUAGAUAUCGCGGUAUGCGAGAUUUGUUGCUAGGGGACAUGUAUGUUUCCUGCAAUAUCAUUGGUUAAUUUUCUUGUUGUCAUGAAAAUCAUUAAAAGUUAAUGAUAACAAUGGACAGAAGAAUUUUACCUACGAGAUAAGAAGGACAUAUACUUCUGUGUUUCAUGUCAAGAUAUCCGACUUGAUAAUUACAAAGUUUUAAUUAAUUUAGUUGUGUUUUUAGAAAUUAUUGUUGUUAUGUGGACAUCCAUAUAUUGUUGUUGAAAACUGAAUAAAAGAAGAAACAGAA